RNAcentral lists this ribosomal RNA (290 nucleotides) under uncultured bacterium. RNAcentral's name for it is "partial 16S ribosomal RNA". It matches the Rfam family "Bacterial small subunit ribosomal RNA", at positions 29 to 334 of the family's 1533-position model. The record is from RNAcentral.
AAUGAACGUUGGCGGCAGGCUUAACACAUGCAAGUCGAACGAAAAGUAAACUUCGGUUUAUGGAUUCGUGGCGGACGGGUGAGUAUAAUAUAGAGAUCUACCAAGUAGUGGGGGAUAACAGUUGGAAACGACUGAUAAUACCGCAUACACCAUAUUGGAAAAGCCUUCGGGCGCUAUUUGAUGAGUCUAUACCGGAUUAGCUAGUUGGUGGGGUAAAGGCCUACCAAGGCAACGAUCUGUAGCUGGUUUGAGAGGAUGAUCAGCCACACUGGGACUGAGACACGGCCCAG